CAACAACAACAACUGCCUUGAGGCUGUGGGCGAAAGUGCUGAUUUGUCUUCCAACACACUGGAAGUAUAAAAGUGGCUAUAAAAAGAACAAGAGAAAUGGCAACAUCUGCUGGAGUAGCCAAAAUUGGGAAGAAGGUAUGGUGAGACACUCAAGCUGGCAGAGUGAAGAAUGCAGGAACCAGAACAGUCAAGGACUGGAGGUCAAGAGAAGAAUGCAUUUGCCAGACCAAUAGCUGCAUAUCAAGUGCCAGAGGAUGUGGUAAAUUGCUCAAGCAAUGAAACCGGUUCUGGUACCGGAGCUGCAAUUGGCAUCACCACCUGGGACUUUGCCAACAAUGUUGAACAGAGUGGUCUAAAUAUCUGUUGCCUGGCUACUCGUGUUGUUUUGCCAAAUAUUUGGGCCUCCGUGUGUUUUGAUUUUGCUCAGAUGGGCGAAGGGGAUCAGAUGGAUUUGAGAACUGUGUCUCUCUUGAGUCUACAAGAGUCCUCGGGAGAUCAGAAGAAAAACAGCCUGCUCAUUUCUGGGAAUACAAAGUUCCAGAAAAACAGGCUACAUGGUACUAACAAAGGCAGCCUUGCU
RNAcentral lists this long non-coding RNA (580 nucleotides) under Callithrix jacchus (white-tufted-ear marmoset). Its description in RNAcentral is "lncRNA (ENSCJAG00000059148.2)". The record is from RNAcentral. Lineage: Eukaryota; Metazoa; Chordata; Mammalia; Primates; Cebidae.